AGGAUAUAAAAUGUGGUAUUUAUGGUGCCAAUUUUGCAGAAUGGAUUAUGAGCAUGCAGGUGUUGGGGCUAUAGAGUUUAUUAUAUGUCAUUCAGAGGUCUCAAUUGCACUUGCAGAAGAGAAGAAGAUACCUGAGCUAUUCAAGACAUUUCCAAAUGCAACAAAGUAUCUCAAGAGAUCAAACUCAGAGCUUUGAACUUCCUAUUAAGAAAAGGAUGUAUACAUAUCAUACCUUCCACUCGCACAUACUUUUUUUAGGAUCAUUGAGGAGAUAUUCAUAUGGCAUGGUGCUUCAAUUGGUUUCUGGCGUGGGGAUGUCAAAUUGUUAAUUGAUGAUGUUGGGGAACUAAAAUCAACUAUUUUUUGUGUUGUUCCCCGUGUGCUUGAUAGAGUGUACUUAGGUUUAACACAAAAGAUUUCUUCUGGGGGCUUCUUGAAGAAGACAUUAAAGAAAGACAGGAAAAUCUCCUUUUAUGUUUAUUAUUAUUUUCAAAACUCAAAAAGAAAGACAGAUUUGAACUGUAAUUAUGUUUAUGUAUGAACAUGCGCACACAGUAGAAUCUCCUUUUAUGUU
Glycine soja is the source of this 574-nucleotide long non-coding RNA. RefSeq lists it as uncharacterized. The record is from RefSeq and is a predicted model, not a curated record. The transcript has 6 exons. NCBI's taxonomy places the organism in Eukaryota, Viridiplantae, Streptophyta, Magnoliopsida, Fabales, Fabaceae.